Molecule: ribosomal RNA, 274 nt
Filed under: Vibrio cholerae
Lineage: Bacteria; Pseudomonadati; Pseudomonadota; Gammaproteobacteria; Vibrionales; Vibrionaceae
Description: partial 16S ribosomal RNA
Rfam family: Bacterial small subunit ribosomal RNA
Source: RNAcentral
AAGUCGAGCGAAUGGAUUAAGAGCUUGCUCUUAUGAAGUUAGCGGCGGACGGGUGAGUAACACGUGGGUAACCUGCCCAUAAGACUGGGAUAACUCCGGGAAACCGGGGCUAAUACCGGAUAACAUUUUGAACCGCAUGGUUCGAAAUUGAAAGGCGGCUUCGGCUGUCACUUAUGGAUGGACCCGCGUCGCAUUAGCUAGUUGGUGAGGUAACGGCUCACCAAGGCAACGAUGCGUAGCCGACCUGAGAGGGUGAUCGGCCACACUGGGACGG